RNAcentral lists this ribosomal RNA (253 nucleotides) under uncultured bacterium. Its description in RNAcentral is "partial 16S ribosomal RNA". It matches the Rfam family "Bacterial small subunit ribosomal RNA", at positions 524 to 776 of the family's 1533-position model. The record is from RNAcentral.
UACGAAGGGGGCUAGCGUUGCUCGGAAUUACUGGGCGUAAAGCGCACGUAGGCGGUCUUUUAAGUCGGGGGUGAAAUCCUGGAGCUCAACUCCAGAACUGCCUUCGAUACUGGAAGACUCGAGUCCGGGAGAGGUGAGUGGAACUGCGAGUGUAGAGGUGGAAUUCGUAGAUAUUCGCAAGAACACCAGUGGCGAAGGCGGCUCACUGGCCCGGUACUGACGCUGAGGUGCGAAAGCGUGGGGAGCAAACAGG